CAGUAUUUCUCAAAGGCUUUCUAUAUUAGGAUCUGUUGUUACAGCCAGACACUCCUGAUUAUGUCACUGUGCCCAAGGACUUAGCAGGUCAUGGAGAAGAUAAUAUACACCUAUCAAGCUCUUAAGUAACAACACAACGAUUCACAUAGUUAAGGACAAAGAUGAAUGGCAUGGAUGUGAAAUGCUGUAAUCUCUCAAAGAAGAAAAACUUCAGCCUGGGGUAAAGAAGGUGAAUUGUAAUUCUCCACCUAACACUGACUUUGGAAAGAUUGGGGCAUUAAGGAUAUACCUGCUUGUAGAUGAUGAGGAGGAGAAAAAGAAGGAUUUCUGUUACUGGGGUGCAGGUGGUGUUUGGUUACAUAAGAGGGGACUUGACAAGAUGAGGGUUCAGCAGACUAAAGUUCACAGGUCAAAGUCAGCCUGGUGCCUGUUUCUGUAUCCCUGCAAGGUGAGUGUAUUCAAUCUUGAACAGUGGAAGAUACCAAGUGAUACAGUUUGAAUGGCUCAGAAAGGCACUCUCCAUUUUGAAUCCCCCCUU
RNAcentral lists this long non-coding RNA (538 nucleotides) under Callithrix jacchus (white-tufted-ear marmoset). Its description in RNAcentral is "lncRNA (ENSCJAG00000068756.2)". Lineage: Eukaryota; Metazoa; Chordata; Mammalia; Primates; Cebidae. The record is from RNAcentral.